RNAcentral lists this long non-coding RNA (942 nucleotides) under Citrus sinensis (sweet orange). RNAcentral's name for it is "long non-coding RNA (CSIN_LNC004616)". The record is from RNAcentral. Lineage: Eukaryota; Viridiplantae; Streptophyta; Magnoliopsida; Sapindales; Rutaceae.
GAACUUCCAAAUUUUCCCUUUAACCGUUAGAAUAAACGGUCAAAAUAACGGAUUUGGGUGUGGAGUGAGCAUUGUUGAAACAUUUGGGGGCAGGACGGAAAAUGUUGAAACAUUUGGGGGCAGGACGGAAAAUGUUGAAACAUUUGGGGGCAGGACGGAAAAUGUUGAAACAUUUGGGGGCAGGACGGAAAAUGUUGAAACAUUUGGGGGCAGGACGGAAAAUGUUGAAACAUUUGGGGGCAGGACGGAAAAUGUUGAAACAUUUGGGGGCAGGACGGAAAAUGUUGAAACAUUUGGGGGCAGGACGGAAAAUGUUGAAACAUUUGGGGGCAGGACGGAAAAUGUUGAAACAUUUGGGGGCAGGACGGAAAAUGUUGAAACAUUUGGGGGCAGGACGGAAAAUGUUGAAACAUUUGGGGGCAGGACGGAAAAUGUUGAAACAUUUGGGGGCAGGACGGAAAAUGUUGAAACAUUUGGGGGCAGGACGGAAUUAACCCAAAAAGAAAAUUCAAAAGUGGGUCUCACAGGAUAUUAGCUCAAGCAAGAAAUCACAUAAGCUAAAGCAGUGGCAUUUAACAGCAAAUUUUUGAAAUACUCUAGUUAAUAAUGUACCUGCAGCAGGGAUUUCAGGGUUUCAAAAGUAUACUGUAAUGUUUAAAGUAUGUAGACCAGCAGAGAUUUUCUGGGUUUCAAAAAUAUACUGUAAUGUAUAAAGUAUGUAGACCUGAAAUCCACCCAGAUUAUUUUACCACAAUUACCAACAACAGAACCGUACAUCAGAUGCUAUUUAUCCGGACAAAAAAGCACUCAACUUAAUUUGUUAACACCAAAGCAUGAAAUCACGAGUCACAAAAGGUUUUCCUUUUUAAAAUACCGUACACUUUUUUUCCCCGCCUUUGGGAAUUAACCCCAGGCCACGCUAUUCAAUUAUACGGGAAAAAU